This 76-nucleotide transfer RNA is filed under the name Clostridiaceae bacterium. RNAcentral's name for it is "tRNA-Trp". It matches the Rfam family "tRNA". Rfam says of the family: Transfer RNA (tRNA) molecules are approximately 80 nucleotides in length. Their secondary structure includes four short double-helical elements and three loops (D, anti-codon, and T loops). Further hydrogen bonds mediate the characteristic L-shaped molecular structure. tRNAs have two regions of fundamental functional importance: the anti-codon, which is responsible for specific mRNA codon recognition, and the 3' end, to which the tRNAs corresponding amino acid is attached (by aminoacyl-tRNA synthetases). tRNAs cope with the degeneracy of the genetic code in two manners: having more than one tRNA (with a specific anti-codon) for a particular amino acid; and 'wobble' base-pairing, i.e. permitting non-standard base-pairing at the 3rd anti-codon position. Lineage: Bacteria; Bacillati; Bacillota; Clostridia; Eubacteriales; Clostridiaceae. The record is from RNAcentral.
AGGGGAAUAACUCAACUGGUAGAGUAGCGGUCUCCAAAACCGAAGGCUGGAGGUUCGAGCCCUCUUUCCCCUGCCA